AAGCUGCCCUACAGAUACUCCAAUUGCCUGAUACGGGAAAGGGGUCUUUUCCGCGAGCGUUGCGGAAUUAAAGAGGUCCCACUUCGUGGGCAUACCCGCAAUACAGGCCCUCCCGGGGGCGGGCCAGCGUUUCGCCGCAAGGCGUGGCUCCGGCUGCGGGUCGGGCGCUGGCUCCAGCCGGCGAGGGGACUCUUUGCCUGCACACGCGGCGGAAGGAGCCAGGGCGGCGGUGCUGCGACACUUCCAGCAGCUUCCAGACCGGCCAGGGCGGCCCUGCCCCGCCCCUUCCCUCGAGGCCCCGCCCCUCCCUCUGCGGCCUGGGCUGUGCCUCUGCGGCGGCUCCGCCCCGCAACCGCACUGCUGGGAUCCUGGGGGCCAAGUGGGCUAUACCCUCAUUUCCUCCAGGAAACUGCAGAGGGGGCGCAUUACCCUACCCGCCAGGCCCAGCUAGCCCGGCACUGCGUCCGGGGUGGGGUGGAGCGGGGAUUACCCCACUUCUCCCCCUUUCGAUCACACAGCACACCGGCCGGUGGGGCGGCUCUGAGGGUACCGCCUUCAGAGAGCAGACUCUGGGGAUGGGGUCGCUUACCCGACGGACCGCUCCCACCCUCCACCCCCAGUUUCUGCAGCCGCCCACAGGUGAGGGAGCGCAGAGACUUGCAUAUCGAGUUGUUUCUCAGUCUGGCUUCCUUGUUCUUUUUUUCCCACCCUUUUCCCUCCUACUGCAGCUGCCUAGAUCUGGGAAGUCGGGUCUCCCAGGAGCCUCAAGGCCAUGGGCCUGCCCAGGGAGUGCCAGAGGGCCAGGGACGCCCUCCUCUGAUGUCUCUGCCCCGUUUGCGUGCCCUCCAGCUGGUGAGCUGGCCUUACUUUUCCAAGGCCUUAUUUCUGAAGCCUCCUUUACGCAGAUCCCCUCCAGAAGAGAAUGGCCCCUCCCUACGCUGUGACUUUGUGGAUGUCCAGCAACUCCCUUCGUGGCCUGCUUUGUCGGUCCCUGGCAUCCUGGGGAGAAGUUCCCCCACCACCCACCCGCGGACCUCCCUCAGCAGCCCUGGUGCCCAGUCUCAUUCUUUCACAUUUUCUUUGUUCAUACGUUGA
Molecule: long non-coding RNA, 1095 nt
Filed under: Bos indicus x Bos taurus (hybrid cattle)
Lineage: Eukaryota; Metazoa; Chordata; Mammalia; Artiodactyla; Bovidae
Description: lncRNA (ENSBIXG00005002073.1)
Source: RNAcentral